Molecule: ribosomal RNA, 253 nt
Filed under: uncultured bacterium
Lineage: Bacteria
Description: partial 16S ribosomal RNA
Rfam family: Bacterial small subunit ribosomal RNA
Source: RNAcentral
UACAGAGGUCCCAAGCGUUGUUCGGAUUCACCGGGCGUAAAGGGUGCGUAGGCGGUCGGGUAAGUCUGGCGUGAAAUCUCCAAGCCUAACUUGGAAACUGCGUUGGAUACUAUCCGGCUCGAGGAAUGGAGGGGAGACUGGAAUACUUGGUGUAGCAGUGAAAUGCGUAGAUAUCAAGUGGAACACCAGUGGCGAAGGCGAGUCUCUGGACAUUUCCUGACGCUGAGGCACGAAAGCCAGGGGAGCAAACGGG